Long non-coding RNA from Hordeum vulgare subsp. vulgare (domesticated barley), 976 nucleotides. RefSeq lists it as uncharacterized. The transcript has 3 exons. Lineage: Eukaryota; Viridiplantae; Streptophyta; Magnoliopsida; Poales; Poaceae. The record is from RefSeq and is a predicted model, not a curated record.
GUGCAUGCAUUGGCCGCUUGAUCAAUGAGCUCCCUUCUUAUCCCGGGCACCGCACGGUCUCUUGGCCGGUUAUGGUCAUCGGGGAUGAGUUGGCCUGGCAGCGUCGGCCACAACCACGGCUUCAGCGACCCCCGUUUCGUCCACUAGAGCCCCUUGUGCAAAUCAGCGCAGUCCAGCACCGCCUAAGCCACCAAGAGACCCCGCGUGUCUGUCCCCCACCCUGUGCAUGCUACAACAUCGUCGUCAUGUCCUGAGAGGCAUAGAGCGCGCCUUCUACAGCCGCCGCGCCCAUGAGCGUCGUUCCAUCGAGCAACGGAAUCACCGUGGAUUAGAGCUCGAUCAUUGGUAAAAUGGGACCCCCUAGAAUUGUUGUAGGUGUCCCAGCCGUCGUAAGCAUCUAUGGAUCCCUCUGGAUCGCCGUGAUCGGCUCCGGAAUUAACCCCGCUUCGGCACCUCCUCGCACGCCUAUAAAUAGAGGACCCCAAGCCUCCACAGCAACCCAACAGCUCUCCACCUCUCAGCAGACCCACCCCCAGCCCCUCGAAGGACCUAGGGAGGGUCGUCUUUCCCUCCUCCGGUAGCCCCAAUCAGCUUUGGGUUCCGGCAAAAUUCACUCUAGUCCUUCCGGCGAGAUCGACCUGCACUCGAAGCCGCCAUCCGCUGCAGUGGGAGUCGACAUCGACGUGGUGCUCGCCCACGAACCCUUCCACCACCCACCAUUGCGGAGGAAUCAUGUGAGCGGCGAUUGUGAGGACGACGCAAUUGUAUCAUGGCGGGAGCUGUAACCAACAGGAAUGGCGAGCAUGCCUGCAGCCGGGACGUGAGGUUGCCGCGACAACCGAUGACACACGUGGACAACUAUGAUCUAUGAGGGCGUGGUGCGACCUGCCAUGAGGUUUGUGUAAAGUAGUGAAAGUGGCAGAAUGAUGGAACAGUCUUUUCAUUGAUGAAGAUGUGGGUAUUUAUACCCCUGUUA